UACGGAGGAUGCAAGCGUUAUCCGGAUUUAUUGGGUUUAAAGGGUGCGCAGGUUGUUUGAUAAGUCAGUGGUGAAAGUCUGUCGCUUAACGGUAGGAUUGCCAUUGAUACUGUUGGACUUGAAUAUGGAUGAGGUAGGCGGAAUGUGUAGUGUAGCGGUGAAAUGCAUAGAUAUUACACAGAACACCAAUUGCGUAGGCAGCUUACUGAGCCGACACUGACGCUGAGGCACGAAAGCGUGGGGAUCGAACAGGA
Molecule: ribosomal RNA, 254 nt
Filed under: uncultured prokaryote
Description: partial 16S ribosomal RNA
Rfam family: Bacterial small subunit ribosomal RNA
Source: RNAcentral